This is a long non-coding RNA of Bradysia coprophila, 133 nucleotides long. The record is from RefSeq and is a predicted model, not a curated record. Lineage: Eukaryota; Metazoa; Arthropoda; Insecta; Diptera; Sciaridae.
UUUCAUAUUUUUCAAAGUUCGCACUUGGCCGGAGAGGUCGUUUAAAAAAAACAUCUUCAACGAAAUGAUCACUUUGAAAUUCCCUAUCGAUAGCACCAUAAACGUCCGGAAACAAAAAUGGUGUGUCCGAUUC